CAAACUGGAAUGCUGCAGUAUUGUGUAGAUGCUGAACGAGAAGGCCCCAACCCAUCCAAGCAGGAUGUCUCAGGACACCAUGACAGAUAAGUGAUGGCACACGUUUGCAGCUUUGAAAGGAUCUCCUGAGAGGAGCUGUAACCAUUUGUAUUUGUCCUAUUCCACAUAUAGAAAAGAAAGCAAGAGCUGGGAGCAGAGAUGUUGAAAAGGUAUUUAUUUAGAUUGAAGUAAGCAGUCAGGAGAUUUUACAGAACUACCACAAUAAUAAUAUGAAGGAAAACAACUUUGGAGGACUUCAGCUCUGUGAUCAAAGCAGCAAAAGAUGAGUGACUCCAAAAGCCUCAUGAUAAAACAUACUUCCCACCUCUCGACCGAGGUAAUAGACUUGGGAUGCAGAAUGAGAUAGAUUGCUUUUCUUAGACAUGGCCAAUGUGUUGAUUCAUUUUGCUGGACCACUCAUAAUUGCUAACAGGAAGGGCUUCUUCUGCUAUAAGGGAAGGGUAGUACGUUAAUGUGUGGAGUAACUGGUAUGCCACCCCCCAAAAACAACAACACCAACAAUAGAACAGUUCUUUUUUGAAUGCACAGAAGAAAAACAAAAAACACACGAGAUACAAACAAAUAUAGAAGUUUUGUUAUUACCUUAUAUGUGUAUA
Molecule: non-coding RNA, 656 nt
Organism: Phascolarctos cinereus (koala)
Lineage: Eukaryota; Metazoa; Chordata; Mammalia; Diprotodontia; Phascolarctidae
Source: RefSeq, a predicted model, not a curated record